GAAGGUAGUUUAUAAGAACCUACUGUGGACUGUGGUUAGUAAGAGAAAUGGAGGAUGUUGUGGAGCAACAGAAUCCAUCACUAGGUGAAGAAGGAGAGAGUGAUAUAGUAACUGAACAGGCUACCUUUGUCCAUGGAGCACCUCAUCAAGAUGAUAAUGGCCCCCCUAAAGUAGAUGCUGAAGUUAAGCUUCUUCAUGAGAAAGUUACCAAGCAAAUAAUCAAAGAAGGUCACGGUGAAAAACCAUCCAAAUAUUCCACAUGCUUUGGUUGAGUAUGAUGAUGGAGAUGAGGAGGUUUUAAAUCUGAGAACUGAACAAUGGGAAAUCCUAGGCGAUGAAAUUCCAACUGAUAUCGACAUAUUCGUUGAUAAGAAAUCUCCUCAACCACGCUCAACUACGGAAGCAUUCCUUCUGACUGCUUGAGGAGUUAAAAGCUUUCCAUUCUGACUAUUCUUUAUUACUUUGGUGCACUGUAAUUAAGCAUACAUGAUGCUUAUCUUGUAGCAUAGAUUGACUGCAUAGUUUCACUCAUAAGUGUCUAAUGAGCUCAGUAAAGUUGUUUGGGGUUAUGUCAUGUAAUUUGUUGCAUGCUAGACUUGAUAAAUUAUGCUUAUAAUUUCAAUAUAGUAACCUACAGAAUUAUUCUUCUGUUUA
Long non-coding RNA from Chenopodium quinoa (quinoa), 654 nucleotides. RefSeq lists it as uncharacterized. Lineage: Eukaryota; Viridiplantae; Streptophyta; Magnoliopsida; Caryophyllales; Amaranthaceae. The transcript is spliced from 4 exons. The record is from RefSeq and is a predicted model, not a curated record.